GGGUGCCCGUGUUUUCGGAGUUGGAGUUGUACCUGGUAGGUUCAUUGAUAAUUUGUGUGAGAUUGAGGGCAUCAAGCUUGGAUUGUAGGAUGGCUGGGGUGUUAAGCAUGUCCCAGUUUAUGUCACCUAGUAGCACGAGCUCAGAAGAUAGAUGGGGGGCAAUCAAUUCACAUAUGGUGUCGAGGGCACAGCUGGGGGCAGAGGGAGGUCUAUUGCAAGCGGCAACAGUGAGAGACUUGUUUCUGGAAAGGUUAAUUUUUAGUAGAAGCUCGAAUUGUUUGGGUACAGAACUCUGCAGGCUUUCUUUGCAGUAGAUUGCAACACCGACCCCUUUGGCAGUUUUAUCUUGACGGAAAAUGCUAUAGUUAGCGAUGGAGAUUUCAAGGUUUUUGGUGGUUUUCCUAAGCCAGGAUUCAGACACGACUAAGACAUCCAGGUUGGCAGAGUGUGCUAAAGCAGUGAGUAAAUAAUAUAUGAACUGGCCGUCUAGCACGUUCGGAAGAGAGUAAAGGGAGCAGGUUUCUGGGCACGAUAGCAUAGAUUAAAGACAUAGUGUACAGACAAAGGUAAGGUAGGAUGUGAGUACAUUGGAGGUAAAUCUAGGCAUUGAGUAAUGAUGAGAGAGAUAUAGUCUCUAGAGAUGUUUAAACCAGGUGAUGUCAUCGUAUAUGUAGGAGGUGGAACAACAUGGUUGGUUAAGGCCUAUUGAGCAGGGCUAGAGGCUCUACAGUAAAAUAAGACCACAAUCACUAACCUGGACAGUAAUGGGCGAGGCAUAUUGAUAUUAGAGAGAGGCAUGCAUAGCCAAGUGAACAUAUGGGUCCAGUGAGUGGUUGGGCUGACUGGGAACAUGGCGAUUCAGACAGUUAGCAGGCCGAUGCUAACAGUUAGUAGGCCGGGGCUAAACAAGCUAGCAGUUAGCAGACCGGGUUAGCAAGCAAGCAGUUAGCAGGGGAUAGCAGUUAGUAGACCGGGGCUAGCAAGUUAGCCUUUGGGGGACGUCGCGGUGGGGGUAAGUCUGUUUUUGCCGAUACACCAGUGAUCUGAGAUCACUUGAAAAGUUGAAAAUCUGCCACAGAAGAGGCAUCAAGCUAACCACACUGCCAAAGACCUUGUCGAAACUAAGAUGUUUGAAAGAACUGGACUUCUCAGACAACGUAGGGUAGCAGAUUCCUGAGAGCAUCGGAUUCCUGAGAACAGGCAUCCCAGAAGGAAAAAACCAUGCAGGCCCUGACUCUGUGGAUAGACUUAUUCCAUAGUGACCAGAAGGCAUCUGUCAUAGCUGACCAACUUGUGAGGACUCUGAUCUUGGUAGGCCUAUACACACUCUACUCUCAGGUCCAGGCCAUCAAGAUAUAUGCCAAAGCCAGGAGACAAUGAAUACACUAUGCCAAAUGUGCUAUAUGAAUAGAGGUACGCCUUCAUGACAGUUCAUGACAUUGUGAAGUUGGAAAGUGAGAGGAGUCAUUUGUUUUUCAUAAAUGUACAUUUACCAAGUGAAUCCAUACCAAAGUAUUGAUUAUUGUUUGACCAUGAGAAUAAAUGCAAUUGGAUAUGCAUCAA
Long non-coding RNA from Oncorhynchus tshawytscha (Chinook salmon), 1563 nucleotides. The record is from Ensembl. NCBI's taxonomy places the organism in Eukaryota, Metazoa, Chordata, Actinopteri, Salmoniformes, Salmonidae.